AGAUUGAACGCUGGCGGCAUGCCUUACACAUGCAAGUCGAACGGCAGCACGGACUUCGGUCUGGUGCGAGUGGCGAACGGGUGAGUAAUAUAUCGGAACGUACCCUGGAGGUGGGGAUAACGCAGCGAAAGUUGCGCUAAUACCGCAUACGAUCUACGGAUGAAAGUGGGGCUCGCAAGACCUCAUGCUCGUGGAGCGGCCGAUAUCGUGAUUAGCUAGUUGGUAAGGUAAAGCCUACCGAAGGCAUCGAUCAGUAGCUGGUCUGAGAGGACGACCAGCCCAACGACUGGGACCUGA
Molecule: ribosomal RNA, 297 nt
Filed under: uncultured soil bacterium
Lineage: Bacteria
Description: partial 16S ribosomal RNA
Rfam family: Bacterial small subunit ribosomal RNA
Source: RNAcentral